UACGUAGGCAGCGAGCGUUGUUCGGAGUUACUGGGCGUAAAGAGUGCGUAGGCGGUUUUCUAAGUUUGGUGUGAAAUCUCCCGGCUCAACUGGGAGGGUGCGCCGAAGACUGGAAGGCUUGAGUAUGGGAGAGGUAAGCGGAAUUCCUGGUGUAGCGGUGAAAUGCGUAGAUAUCAGGAGGAACACCUGCGGUGUAGACGGCUUACUGGACCAUAACUGACGCUGAGGCACGAAAGCGUGGGCAGCAAACAGG
RNAcentral lists this ribosomal RNA (253 nucleotides) under uncultured bacterium. Its description in RNAcentral is "partial 16S ribosomal RNA". It matches the Rfam family "Bacterial small subunit ribosomal RNA", at positions 524 to 776 of the family's 1533-position model. The record is from RNAcentral.